UGCAGAACUGCUAGGCCAUAUAGAUCGUUACACGUAUUGUGAGAGUUGCUUGGCCACAACAAAAGAAAUGGAACUCAUAGAGAAGAAGCUCUCGGGGGCUUCCAGACGCGAUGUUGUGGAGACGCUGGUUGACGAUGCCCUGUGCAACGCUGCCUCAUUUCAAAGUCAUGCUCAUCUCCCGGCCGACAAAAUGACAGCAGCCUGCAAGCACUUGUUGGAUGUUCACGGUGAAGAGUUCCGCGCAGCAUUGCUGCUCAGAGAAUCCGAGCGCCUGGACAUUCUGCUGUGUUACGAACGCUCUUUAGCCUGUGUGGGAGUGAAUCGACUAAAACAUCAGAACAAAGACAGGACUUCCUUCACGGACAGUGACAUCAAAGCUCAGCUGCGAGGGAGCGGAGCGGAUAUACGCAUUGCUCGGCUAGUCCACACCAACAUCACAACAAUGGCAGCAAAGGACGAACUGUAAAAACAGGACAAGGAAAUGAAGUAUCAUUGUUCAGUCUAAACUGUGAACCAAACAAGGCGAGUAAUACAAAUGGAAAAAUUUCGCGUAUAGAUCUGUUUAACUGGGUUAAUAAUCCUCGGUUUAUGUAUGAGUAAGAAUUGGAACGGAAUAAUCUGUAUUUCUUUGGUAGGAGUAGUGAUUUCUAUGAAAAUAGCGCCAUCCUGUGGCAUUACCGCAUACUUGCAAUAAAGGCUUUGUUGCAGAUA
This is a long non-coding RNA of Megalops cyprinoides (Indo-Pacific tarpon), 711 nucleotides long. RefSeq lists it as uncharacterized. The transcript has 5 exons. The record is from RefSeq and is a predicted model, not a curated record. NCBI's taxonomy places the organism in Eukaryota, Metazoa, Chordata, Actinopteri, Elopiformes, Megalopidae.